GACGAACGCUGGCGGCGUGCUUAGCACAUGCAAGUCGAACGAAGAGCGAUGGAAGCUUGCUUCUAUCAAUCUUAGUGGCGGACGGGUGAGUAACGCGUAAUCAACCUGCCCUUCAGAGGGGGACAACAGUUGGAAACGACUGCUAAUACCGCAUACGAUCUAAUCUCGGCAUCGAGGAUAGAUGAAAGGUGGCCUCUACAUGUAAGCUAUCACUGAAGGAGGGGAUUGCGUCUGAUUAGCUAGUUGGAGGGGUAACGGCCCACCAAGGCGAUGAUCAGUAGCCGGUCUGAGAGGAUGAACGGCCACAUUGGGACUGAGACACGGCCCAUACUCCUACGGGAGGCAGCAGUGGGGAAUCUUCCGCAAUGGACGAAAGUCUGACGGAGCAACGCCGCGUGAGUGAUGACGGCCUUCGGGUUGUAAAGCUCUGUUAAUCGGGACGAAAGGCCUUCUUGCGAAUAGUGAGAAGGAUUGACGGUACCGGAAUAGAAAGCCACGGCUAACUACGUG
This 510-nucleotide ribosomal RNA is filed under the name uncultured bacterium. RNAcentral's name for it is "partial 16S ribosomal RNA". It matches the Rfam family "Bacterial small subunit ribosomal RNA", at positions 28 to 507 of the family's 1533-position model. The record is from RNAcentral.